Molecule: ribosomal RNA, 563 nt
Filed under: Scelodolichus altulus
Lineage: Eukaryota; Metazoa; Arthropoda; Insecta; Coleoptera; Curculionidae
Description: SSU rRNA
Source: RNAcentral
GCUUGUCUCAAAGAUUAAGCCAUGCAUGUCUCAGUACAAGCCAAAUUAAGGUGAAACCGCGAAAGGCUCAUUAAAUCAGUUAUGGUUCCUUAGAUCGUACCCACAAUUACUUGGAUAACUGUGGUAAUUCUAGAGCUAAUACAUGCAAACAGAGCUCCGACCGGAGACGGAAGGAGUGCUUUUAUUAGAUCAAAACCAAUCGGUGGCGGGCUCGUCAUCGUACAACUUGGUGACUCUGAAUAACUUUACGCUGAUCGCACGGUCAUCGCACCGGCGACGCAUCUUUCAAAUGUCUGCCUUAUCAACUGUCGAUGGUAGGUUCUGCGCCUACCAUGGUUGUAACGGGUAACGGGGAAUCAGGGUUCGAUUCCGGAGAGGGAGCCUGAGAAACGGCUACCACAUCCAAGGAAGGCAGCAGGCGCGCAAAUUACCCACUCCCGGCACGGGGAGGUAGUGACGAAAAAUAACGAUACGGGACUCAUCCGAGGCCCCGUAAUCGGAAUGAGUACACUCUAAACCCUUUAACGAGGAUCAAUUGGAGGGCAAGUCKGGUGCCAGCAGCC